ACUCGUGACGGAAUCCGAUAACCGAUGGCAUCCAAAUGCUGGCCAUAAAGGGUGAAAUCGCUCGUUAGCCCUCCACAUGACCGUUAAGUGUCUCUGCCCAGCCUGAUUCCUGGAACCCAACCGCCAUAUGCUUAUAUGGCAUGACUGUGGGCUGAGCGCCCCAGUGUCAUCAUUACCAUGACUAGGAUUACGAUUACUGUCAUCGUCGUGUCAUCACAAACACACGCAGACUUAGCGAGCGUCUUUAUGGCUUUUGGCGUUGAAAUGAUAAGUAAAGUUUUUGCAGAACGUAGCGAACAUUUUCCGGACAUGGGGCUUAUGUCCAUGCUGGAAACAUAUGGCAUAUUGCCAGGCGAAACAUUUAAUGGUCUGCAAAAUGGCCCGGGCCGGGACAUUAAAAGUUGCUUAACCUUCAUUAGGCGCCCGAUUCCGCAUCCGAAUCCGACUGACGGCGAGAUGAAAUUUAAUAUAUGUCAGGUCCCGACAUCGGAGGGCUUAAUGCCCCAUUUGUGCAGGGCGCCACUGCAUCCAAAUGAUGGUGCCAGAAAAAAAAAGCAAAUCACCGCAAGUUGGCAUGGAGCUUUAAUCAGCCCAGCAGGCAAAAGGGCUAGUGGUGGUGGACAGGAGGGGGUGGUAUUAAAGGGGCGCAAGGACACUAGGCAAACUCAAUUUCGAGCUUGUUUCACGGGACAACGACCACGCCCAACCCGACCCACCAGAGGCGCUAAUGCGGCGACAUGGCAUUAUCCUUCUUCCUUUCGCGACUUCUUUCCCGACUUUUCCGACCACGGCUGCACUCUCCUUGGGUAUUUUGAUAAUCAAAUUUGCGCAAACAAGCGAGUGGCGUGAAUUUGCCAACGCCACCGGAACAAGGACGAAACAAGGACCAAGGAUAAUAACGGUUGCGCCUCGUGCACUUGUGCAAUUAGAUUGUCAAAAGUUCAGUAACUUUACCCAAACCGAAGCGCCUUAAAUUCUCCAUUGUUCUUCUUUAAAUUACAGUUUCACUAUUUUUGAUUUUAGAUGGUAAU
Non-coding RNA from Drosophila melanogaster (fruit fly), 1031 nucleotides. The record is from Ensembl. NCBI's taxonomy places the organism in Eukaryota, Metazoa, Arthropoda, Insecta, Diptera, Drosophilidae.